GGUUAAUUCCGUUAACGAGCGAGACCUGGGCGUGCUAACUAGGGGGUACUACCUUUUUGGUAGUACGCUUUCCCUUCUUAGACGGACUGUGGGCGUCUAGCCCACGGAAGCUCCAGGCAAUAACAGGUCUGAGAUGCCCUUAGAUGUUCUGGGCCGCACGCGUGCUACACUGAGUGGAUCAGCGGGUUAGGUAACGCGAAAGUGUGUCCUAAUCUUUAAAUCCGCUCGUGAUGGGGAUUGACGGUUGCAAUUUUCCGUCAUGAACGAGGAAUACCUUGUAAGCGCGUGUCAUCAUCACGCGCUGAAUACGUCCCUGCCCUUUGUACACACCGCCCGUCGCUCCUACCGAUCGAGUGGUCCGGUGAGGCUUUGGGAUCUAAGCGGAAAAAGCGUUUCGCUUGUUCUGCUCGGAAAACUCAGUCGAACCUUAUCAUUUAGAGGAA
This 443-nucleotide ribosomal RNA is filed under the name Corallinales sp. ZD_Twist-2019. Its description in RNAcentral is "SSU rRNA". It matches the Rfam family "Eukaryotic small subunit ribosomal RNA", at positions 1317 to 1781 of the family's 1831-position model. Lineage: Eukaryota; Rhodophyta; Florideophyceae; Corallinales. The record is from RNAcentral.